GAGUUUGAUCAUGGCUCAGGAUAAACGCUGGCGGCGUGCCUAACACAUGCAAGUCGAACGUUCUCUUGUUUUUUCGGAAGCAAGAGGGAGUGGCGGACGGGUGAGUAACACGUGGGAACCUGCCCUCGGGUGAGGAAUACCACCGGGAAACCGGUGACAAGACCGCAUACGUUCUCGUAGCAGUACGAGAGCAAAGCUUCUCGCAAGAGAGGUGCCUGAGGAGGGGGCCUGCGGCCGAUUAGCUAGCUGGUGGGGUAAGAGCCUACCAGGGCGACGAUCGGUAGCUGGUCUGAGAGGACGAGCAGCCACACUGGGAUUGAGAACGGCCCAGACUCCUACGGGGGGCAGCAGUGAGGAAUUUUCGGCAAUGGGGGCAACCCUGAACGAGCAACGCCGCGUGCAGGAAGAAGGUUUUCGGAUCGUAAACUGCUUUUCUCGGGGAAGAGAAUGGACGGUACCCGAGGAAGAAGCCCCGGCUAACUACGUGCCAGCAGCCGCGGUAAUACGUAGGGGGCGAGCGUUGUCCGGAGUUACUGGGCGUAAAGGGCCCGCAGGCGGUCAAGGUAGUCUAGACUGACAAUACCUCUCUUAACGAGGUGGGGUGUCUGGAAACUGCUUGACUUGAGGCAAUGAGAGGGACACGGAACUCCGGGUGGAGCGGUGAAAUGCGUAGAGUUCCGGAAGAACACCAAAGGCGCAGGCAGUGUCCUGGCUGGGUCCUGACGCUCAGGGGCGAAAGCUAGGGGAGCAAACGGGAUUAGAUACCCCGGUAGUCCUAGCCGUAAACGAUGACCACUAGGUGUGCGGAGUAUCGACCCUCUGCGUGCCGCAGCUAACGUGAUAAGUGGUCCGCCUGGGGAGUACGGUCGCAAGAUUAAAACUCAAAGGAAUUGACGGGGACCCGCACAAGCAGCGGAGCGUGUGGUUUAAUUCGAUGCAACGCGCAGAACCUUACCAGGGUUUGACAUGUCCUCGCAGCAGCCACAGAGGGCUGUGCCCGCAAGGGCCGAGGACACAGGUGCUGCAUGGCUGUCGUCAGCUCGUGCCGUGAGGUGCUGGGUUAAGUCCCGCAACGAGCGCAACCCCUAUGGGUCGUUACUCUUUUCUACCCAGACUGCCGCGUCUAACACGGAGG
RNAcentral lists this ribosomal RNA (1135 nucleotides) under uncultured Ktedonobacterales bacterium. RNAcentral's name for it is "bacterial SSU rRNA". It matches the Rfam family "Bacterial small subunit ribosomal RNA", at positions 9 to 1169 of the family's 1533-position model. The record is from RNAcentral. Lineage: Bacteria; Bacillati; Chloroflexota; Ktedonobacteria; Ktedonobacterales.